ACGCGCGCCAUUUUAUGUUCCAUUUUUCGUUUAAAAUGAUAGAUUGCGUCAAAUAAGUUGUGUUACAGUAUUGUAAACAAUCUGAAAGAAUGGCAGUGUUGUUCAGACUUCACAGUUUUAACGCUAAACAAAUUCACCAUACAAACAAUCGGUUGGACUGAAUCACUGUUCAAAAGAAUCAUUUGUUCGCGAAUCACACAUUAGUAGCAAAUCUAUUGAUCAAUCUAAAGGCAGUUCAAGCAAGUUUACACGUGGAACAAGUUCAGCUAGUAAAAUCACAUUUCUGCGAUCACCUGAAGUAUAGACUAAUCAUAAUGAAAUGCUCAGCUUUGCUUCAGAAUUUGUAGCUAUAGACUGACGGAGCAAGAGAAACUGGACGAUCCGACAUACCAAUGUCAUAUGUUGAACUUCAUUGUAGCAGUUCAUAACGGUCAUGGGUAUCAUUAUGACCCUCCCAGCGUCCGACUGUUUGUGAUAUGGCACUGCCAAUGCCUUUUGGGCAGAUUUCAACUCCUGCUGUCAACUCCAGAGUCUUUGUCUCUGGCUAAGAUGGCCCAGUUUCGCCGUCGGUGUCGUGUUGCAGGCUCCGGCCGUGUGUGUCUGUGUACACAGGUCUGUGCUAAGCGCGCCUGUUGACAGUUAUGCCACCAUCGUUUGAAAGCAGCCAUAUCAGAUGAUCGUGGUAAUGGAUGUUAAAGGCAAACAUAUCUGUUGAAUCAGGGCACCUACAGCGCUUCCCUCUUUGCUGGAAAAUGUUUCUGUCUACGGCCCAGAUGAGGAAAGUCUCCAAGCCACAACAUGACAUCCAUCUCAGGAUAUUUAAUGAGGAUGUCUACCACUGGAGACGCUGGAUUCAUGUGAGGCCCACAUCAGUGAGGACAAAGGGUGAAUUCUUCCCCGGCCGAGGACGGCUAGAGGAAGUAGUGCAGAUGCCAGUGGAGAUAACUGAGUGUGGGUUCGAGUUUCCACCAGCUGGUCAUGCAUACUUCUACUGUGCACAGAUCUGUGUGUAAUUGAGAGUAGAGUGUGUGAACCAAAGAGAGGAGAGAAGAUGUGGCUUAAUCAAGGAGAUGCACUUCUCCUUUCCCUGCUCUUUGAUGUUGUGAAAAGACGUCCACGGUUAACCCUGAGUGUGCAGCCGCUGUGUACUUCUCUUUCAACCCUGAGAUGAUGAAAGUGAUAGCUCCAUGGAGCCGUUGUAUCAGGGGGUGUCCAGGUUCUCUUGAAAAAGAGAUGUGACCCUGAUUGAAAUGAGGAACAUAUUUGAUCUUGAAAUGAAGUGCUUCUAUGCUUUGCACUAAUGCACUCAUCUUUGAUCAUCAAAAGUAAUUGAUAUUACCACAUUGCCUUUAAAGCUUAUUGAACGACAACCAAGCAUAUUGUCCGGAGAACAUUGGUGUCAUUGGCGGAAGGAUGCUCAUUUUGUAGGCCAUUUCCAGAUGAGAUCAGCACCAAUAUAUGAAAUAGACCAAAUUGUGAUAACAAAUGCAAUGUAUUAAAUAAAAUAAAGUUUAUUGGAGUAUGUUUUAAAAGAAAAUACUAUUUCAGUCUUUCUACUUCAAAUUUCAUGUUUAAUUCAAUGUGUUAUUUGCCAUUUCUUUGUAAUUAUUUGAAAAUGGUUUCAAAGUUAAUCCUACGCCUGUUUUUCCUAUU
Ctenopharyngodon idella (grass carp) is the source of this 1653-nucleotide long non-coding RNA. RefSeq lists it as uncharacterized. The transcript has 4 exons. The record is from RefSeq and is a predicted model, not a curated record. NCBI's taxonomy places the organism in Eukaryota, Metazoa, Chordata, Actinopteri, Cypriniformes, Xenocyprididae.